This 484-nucleotide ribosomal RNA is filed under the name uncultured bacterium. RNAcentral's name for it is "partial 16S ribosomal RNA". It matches the Rfam family "Bacterial small subunit ribosomal RNA", at positions 30 to 507 of the family's 1533-position model. The record is from RNAcentral.
AUUGAACGCUGGCGGCAGGCCUAACACAUGCAAGUCGAGCGGAUGAAGGGAGCUUGCUCCUGGAUUCAGCGGCGGACGGGUGAGUAAUGCCUAGGAAUCUGCCUGGUAGGGGGGGAUAACGUCCGGAAACGGGCGCUAAUACCGCAUACGUCCUGAGGGUGAAAGUGGGGGAGCUUCGGACCUCACGCUCUCAGAUGAGCCUAGGUCGGAUUAGCUAGUUGGUGGGGUAAAGGCCUACCAAGGCGACGAUCCGUAACUGGUCUGAGAGGAUGAUCAGUCACACUGGAACUGAGACACGGUCCAGACUCCUACGGGAGGCAGCAGUGGGGAAUAUUGGACAAUGGGCGAAAGCCUGAUCCAGCCAUGCCGCGUGUGUGAAGAAGGUCUUCGGAUUGUAAAGCACUUUAAGUUGGGAGGAAGGGCAGUAAGUUAAUACCUUGCUGUUUUGACGUUACCAACAGAAUAAGCACCGGCUAACUUCGUG